This is a non-coding RNA of Cinara cedri, 336 nucleotides long. The record is from the annotation of a GenBank genome assembly. NCBI's taxonomy places the organism in Eukaryota, Metazoa, Arthropoda, Insecta, Hemiptera, Aphididae.
CACUCGCGUACCAAACACUUCGUCUAUAGUCGCUUCGGUGCUCCUCUUCGCGCUAUCUCUUUUCCUUUUUUUUUUUUUUUUUUUUAUUUUCACUCUUGGCCCGUCUGUCUCUCGUCUGUUAUCUGUAUCUGUCUUGGUCUAUCUGUCUGUCUGUCUUCUCGUCUGUUGCUCUGUACCGACGAUUUUUAUUUAUUUUUACUUUUUUUUUUUUCCCCCCGUUUUUCCCCCCAAACAUUUUUUUUUUCCUCCGAGUAAAACGAGGACAUACGACAGCACACAAGACGACCGCAACAAUAUAGAUUACAUUUUUCGCAAUAAUAAACCGUAAUAUUUUAU